UGUGUGUAAAUGUUGUGUUACAUAUGGGAUGUGAUGCGUCGCACGCUUCAAUCGCCGGACGUUGUCGGGACAUGAGAUCAAGAUCAUGAUCUUCUCUUCACAUGGAGUCUGAUGAUGGUUUCGAAUAUACAUUCGUGUACGGUUGUAACACGAGCAGAGUAUGGCAGGUCAAAUGAUGCUCGGAGGAUAGUUUUGUGGUCCCGAUGAGGGGUCAAACUGCUUCACAGACUGCUCGGUUGAUUCCUGACAAAAAAAUUCGAAUAGAG
RNAcentral lists this unclassified non-coding RNA (266 nucleotides) under Athalia rosae (coleseed sawfly). RNAcentral describes it as "misc RNA ENSAEAG00005000304.1". Lineage: Eukaryota; Metazoa; Arthropoda; Insecta; Hymenoptera; Athaliidae. The record is from RNAcentral.